CCUACGGGCGGCAGCAGUGGGGAAUAUUGGGCAAUGGACGCAAGUCUGACCCAGCAACGCCGCGUGAAGGAAGAAGGCUUUCGGGUUGUAAACUUCUUUUAAGGGGGAAGAGCAGAAGACGGUACCCCUUGAAUAAGCCACGGCUAACUACGUGCCAGCAGCCGCGGUAAUACGGAGGAUGCGAGCGUUAUCCGGAUUUAUUGGGUUUAAAGGGUGCGUAGGCGGUAUUUUAAGUUAGUGGUAAAACGUCGGGGCUUCACCUUGAUUGGCCAUUAAAACUGGAGUACUAGAGUACAGACGAGGUAGGCGGAAUAAGUUAAGUAGCGGUGAAAUGCUUAGAUAUAACUUAGAACCCCGAUAGCGAAGGCAGCUUACCAGACUGUUACUGACGCUGAAGCACGAGAGCGUGGGUAGCGAACAGGAUUAGAUACCCCUGUAGUC
This 441-nucleotide ribosomal RNA is filed under the name uncultured bacterium. Its description in RNAcentral is "partial 16S ribosomal RNA". It matches the Rfam family "Bacterial small subunit ribosomal RNA", at positions 338 to 795 of the family's 1533-position model. The record is from RNAcentral.